Molecule: transfer RNA, 90 nt
Filed under: Candidatus Bathyarchaeota archaeon
Lineage: Archaea; Thermoproteati; Candidatus Bathyarchaeota
Description: tRNA-Ser
Rfam family: tRNA
About the family: Transfer RNA (tRNA) molecules are approximately 80 nucleotides in length. Their secondary structure includes four short double-helical elements and three loops (D, anti-codon, and T loops).
Source: RNAcentral
GGAAGGGUGGCUGAGCGGACGAAGGCACUCGGUUGGAAGCCGAGCGGAGUGUUAAAGCUCCCGUGGGUUCGAAUCCCACCCCUUCCGCCA